AGUAAGACCAGUCUGAACGAGUGGACCCUAACGUGAGGUUUAAAAAAAAAGUUUUUUCAGGCGCAUGUGCAUUUCUUGUUAUUGUCCGGUUGAAAUAUUAUAGAUCAUUUAGGCUAAAAAAUAACCCUAGGAUUGAAUAUAAACAUCCUUUGACAUGUUUCUAUGAACUUUACGGAUACAACUACAAAUGUCUGAUUGUUUUGACUGAGUUUGAGCCUGUGGAUUACUGAAGAAAACGCGCUAACAAAACUGAGGUUUUUGGAUAUAAAGAGACUUCAUCGAACAAAAGGAACAUUUAUUGAGUAAAUGAAUGUCUUCUGAUUGCCACCAUAUGAAGAUCAUCAAAGUUUCCAGGCCCACCUCCCCUCCUGUGUCAUCGAUGGCCAUCCGGUGUACAGGGUGAGACGCCUCCUGAGUGUUCGACCACGGGGCAGGGGUUUCCAGUACCUGGUUAACUGGGAGCAUUAUGGGCCAGAGGAGAGGUGUUGGGUCCCUGCUAAGGACAUCCUUGACCCGGCUCUCAUUGCCAACUUUCACCGCCGGCAUCCCCAGGAGUUAUCAAUGAUCUUUAUCUCUGCAGCACAAAAUGGAGAUGUUGUUCAUGGUCACCAGACUACUGGACUUUUCCUCUUCACGGUGCGCAGGAGUAGGGUCAUGACAUUCAGACACCGCACCCGUGCUGUUCUCACAUGAUUGGUGGAGCAGAGCAGAACCCUGACUCCGGGGUUAGAGAAGAAGGCGAGCACUCUGGGCUGAGGCAUGCAUCUCAUUACUGAAGCAGAUGCCUCUGGUGGGGAAGGAGGAACAGAAGGACACAGAGGGGCUGGGAGAGGUUUGGAGAGGCAAAGGACUCACAGCCAAGAGGAAGGGAAUGGUGGGGCCCAGGGGGCAGACAAAGUCAUGUACAACAGGCCUAAGUGGCAGAGUGGCAGGGAACAAAGAAGAGCCUUCCUUCCCUCAAGCCACACAUUAAAUAUGCCCUCGGCUUGGAAUCUUAACAGAUGGUGACUAUUUCUCUCAGUAUAUUUUUAUUAAUACUUUUGCAUAAUAAUGUAUGCUUGGAUCAUACUGUACUUUUGCAUGUUUACAACUUAUUGUGGCACGAUGAACCACAGUGUGCAUAAUUUGAAAGUUAGAGGUUAUAUUUUAGCAAGCUCUCUCAUUCUUGACUGAGGUACAAAGCAGCACAUUAUGGUCAUUUUUCUCUACAGCAAACACAAUAUUCAACAUAUGAAGAGACUUCAUUUUUAAAUAUUAGUUCUCAUUCUUAAUGCAACCUAUAUAGGCCCUAGAUACAAGUCCUCAUGGACUUGGAGAGUACACUGCGGUUCUAUAAUAAUGUUCUUUCAUUAUUCCCUGGGUCUUCUGAAAGGGUGAAUAUCCCGGAAACUCCAUGUUUCUUUUUUUUAAUGAAAAACCUAGAUUGUCAUUAGGACAGCAUGGCUGCAAAGAGAGCCCUUGAUGAAAUACUCAGAAUCAUACUUCACUGUCUGAAGAGUUAUUCUGCUUCACCAAGAUCUCCUUCAUUUAUUAAGACACAACAAUGGUCUGAGCAGAGUUAUUAAAAGCCUUUACAAACUCCCCUCAUAUUUCUGAGGGGCUCUCUCUAUCAAGGUGGACUUUCUCCAUAAAACAGAACACCUGUAGUACCUCUUGAUUCAUUUUUAAUAUGUGGCCCUCGUGUACUGUCUUCACAUGUUUUCAUGUCAUUCCACCCAACUCAUUGUUUAUUAUUAUUAACCCUUAUUUUACCAGGUAAAAUGACUGAAAACAUGUUCUCAUUUACAGCAACAACCGGGGGAAUAGCUACAGGGAAGAGGAGAUGAAUGAGCCAAUUGUAAGCUGGGGAUGAUUAGGUGACCAUGAUGGUAUGAAGGCCAGAUUGGGAAUUUAGGCAGGACACCGGGGUUAACACCCCUACUCUUACGAUAAGUGCCAUGGGAUCUUUAGUGACCACAGAGAAUCAGGACACCAGUUUAACGUCCCAUCCGAAAGACAGCACCCUACUCAGGGCAAUGUCCCCAAUCACUUCCCUGGGGCAUUGGGAUAUUUGUUUAGACCAGAGGAAAGGUUGCCUCCUAUUGGCCCUCCAACACCACUUCCAGCAGCAUCUAGUCUCCCAUCCAAGACCAACCCUGUUAGCUUCAGAAGCAAGCCAGCAGUGGGAGGCAGGCUGGUUUGCUGCUUGUUUCAUGUGAAUUUGAUUUAAUUUAUUAUCUACUCAAAAACAUUGCUAAAAGGAAAGUUUACCCUUCUUUUGUAAAUGUUAUGGAAGACAGUACACCUUCACAAUAUACUGUAACUGCUGAUCAGGUCUGCCCAAUGUCCUCUUUCUUAACACCAGUGAAGGGAACCUGCCUUUAACAUGCACACUUCACUCCCCUUCAACUACAAGCUUGUUAUACCUUUGGUAGUUUCAUCAGACAAAGGAUGGACAAUCAAACAUACAAUAGCUCAGUCUUUCAAUAGUAACCCUAAUUAUUAUUAUCAUUGGAGAACGCAUCUCUCUUAGCUGUACAUACAAUAGAGAAGACAUAAUUGAGGGGUUGAAUAUACAGUGCCUUGUGAAAGUAUUCGGCCCCCUUGAACUUUGCGACCUUUUGCCACAUUUC
Molecule: long non-coding RNA, 2612 nt
Organism: Oncorhynchus tshawytscha (Chinook salmon)
Lineage: Eukaryota; Metazoa; Chordata; Actinopteri; Salmoniformes; Salmonidae
Source: Ensembl